This 497-nucleotide ribosomal RNA is filed under the name uncultured bacterium. Its description in RNAcentral is "partial 16S ribosomal RNA". It matches the Rfam family "Bacterial small subunit ribosomal RNA", at positions 28 to 507 of the family's 1533-position model. The record is from RNAcentral.
GAUGAACGCUGGCGGCGUGCCUAAUACAUGCAAGUCGAGCGAACAGACGAGGAGCUUGCUCCUCUGACGUUAGCGGCGGACGGGUGAGUAACACGUGGAUAACCUACCUAUAAGACUGGGAUAACUUCGGGAAACCGGAGCUAAUACCGGAUAAUAUAUUGUACCGCAUGGUUCAAUAGUGAAAGACGGUUUUGCUGUCACUUAUAGAUGGAUCCGCGCCGCAUUAGCUAGUUGGUAAGGUAACGGCUUACCAAGGCGACGAUGCGUAGCCGACCUGAGAGGGUGAUCGGCCACACUGGAACUGAGACACGGUCCAGACUCCUACGGGAGGCAGCAGUAGGGAAUCUUCCGCAAAGGGCGAAAGCCUGACGGAGCAACGCCGCGUGAGUGAUGAAGGUCUUCGGAUCGUAAAACUCUGUUAUUAGGGAAGAACAAAUGUGUAAGUAACUAUGCACGUCUUGACGGUACCUAAUCAGAAAGCCACGGCUAACUACGUG